GGAACAUGAAUAUAUGUUCAGAAUCCCUAACCCUAACCCUAACCCUAGAAAGGUUAUCAAAUUGUGGUGUAA
Molecule: non-coding RNA, 72 nt
Organism: Pangasianodon gigas (Mekong giant catfish)
Lineage: Eukaryota; Metazoa; Chordata; Actinopteri; Siluriformes; Pangasiidae
Source: the annotation of a GenBank genome assembly